RNAcentral lists this ribosomal RNA (285 nucleotides) under Triticum aestivum (bread wheat). RNAcentral's name for it is "partial small subunit ribosomal RNA". The record is from RNAcentral. Lineage: Eukaryota; Viridiplantae; Streptophyta; Magnoliopsida; Poales; Poaceae.
AUGAUACUUUCUGUUUUGUCGAGCCCUGCUUUGGUCUCUAGUUUGAUGGUUGUACGUGCUAAAAAUCCGGUACAUUCCGUUUUGUUUCCCAUCCUAGUCUUUUGCGACACUUCUGGUUUACUUAUUUUGUUAGGUCUCGACUUCUCCGCUAUGAUCUUCCCAGUAGUUCAUAUAGGAGCUAUUGCCGUUUCAUUCCUAUUCAUGGUUAUGAUGUUCAAUAUUCAAAUAGCGGAGAUUCACGAAGAAGUAUUGUGCUAUUUACCAGUGAGUGGUAUUAUGGACUGA